RNAcentral lists this ribosomal RNA (497 nucleotides) under uncultured bacterium. RNAcentral describes it as "partial 16S ribosomal RNA". It matches the Rfam family "Bacterial small subunit ribosomal RNA", at positions 28 to 507 of the family's 1533-position model. The record is from RNAcentral.
GAUGAACGCUGGCGGCGUGCCUAAUACAUGCAAGUCGAGCGAACAGAUAAGGAGCUUGCUCCUUUGACGUUAGCGGCGGACGGGUGAGUAACACGUGGGUAACCUACCUAUAAGACUGGGAUAACUUCGGGAAACCGGAGCUAAUACCGGAUAACAUUUGGAACCGCAUGGUUCUAAAGUGAAAGAUGGUUUUGCUAUCACUUAUAGAUGGACCCGCGCCGUAUUAGCUAGUUGGUAAGGUAACGGCUUACCAAGGCAACGAUACGUAGCCGACCUGAGAGGGUGAUAGGCCACCCUGGAACUGAGACACGGUCCAGACUCCUACGGGAGGCAGCAGUAGGGAAUCUUCCGCAAUGGGCGAAAGCCUGACGGAGCAACGCCGCGUGAGUGAUGAAGGGUUUCGGCUCGUAAAACUCUGUUAUUAGGGAAGAACAAACGUGUAAGUAACUGUGCACGUCUUGACGGUACCUAAUCAGAAAGCAACGGCUAACUACGUG